Molecule: long non-coding RNA, 1812 nt
Organism: Diorhabda carinulata
Lineage: Eukaryota; Metazoa; Arthropoda; Insecta; Coleoptera; Chrysomelidae
Exons: 3
Source: RefSeq, a predicted model, not a curated record
GCUAUAAAUGUACGUAAUCAGCACAUAGAGAAAAUAUUGAAGAUAGAGAGAGCGAGGUAUGGGGAUGAUUGUAAUACUUUUUAUUACAUAUAUGGGUAUGGGAGCUUGUUCAAGUGGGCCCGAACGGCUGGUAGUGAGCGAAAGAACAUCGGUAUACCAUCACAGAACACACCCAAUAAAAAGAUCGACUUGCAUGUAAAUUUCAGCAACACAAAUUUAGUUCUGCCACUUACCAAUCGUGGGGCUAGUCUGAUGAAAAUGUGCCAUUACUUUUAACGUCAAUAAUCAUUUGUCUAAAUCAAAUGACCGCUUUUGUAAAAGUCAUUUUCUGAAAAGAACUUUUAUAAAUUUCAAUAGAAAAAAUUUAAGAUGUAAUAGACACUGAUAUAAUCGUCGAAGAGCAUCAAUUUACCUAGAGAAGAGCCAUUGGAGUUUUCAAAUUCCAUUGUUACAGAGAAAAUUAGUAGGUUUGACAAAUAAAAAUCGAUUUUUGACUAGCUGGAACGAGUAUGAACAAUUUAACACUUAAGAAAAUGGUAAUGUAUCAAGUUCAUCUGAAUAUAACUAUCAAAAUUGAGCAGUUAAAAACAUUGAAGAGAUAUGAAAUUGGAACAUUUGAGUGAUUAGAUGAAACUUUGGAUAAUUAAAUGGAAGAAUACAUUAAUUAUAUAUUUAUAAAAUAAUUAAUUACAGUUAAAAAGUAUUCAGAGACAAGAUUUAUUAGUCAGUGUGAUUCUGGCCCAGGACGCAGAAAAACUUUGCGAAAAGCUGAAUAUCCUGAAAUGAAAACUCGUUUGUAUGUGUGGUUUUGUAGACAAAAAUAGAGGCAUGUCCCCAAUUUUAUCCGCUAAAGCAAUACAGUUUUAUACCAAUACAUAUGGAAAUUAUAAUUUUAGAGCUAGCAGUGACUGGAUUUGUAACUUUAGAAAAAGGCAUAGUCUGUGUGCUUUAAAAGUGUGUGGCGAAAAACAUGAUGAUCUAAGUGCCAUCAAUAUUUUCUUGUCAAAAUUUAAAUGGAAGGUAAGACAAUUAAAUCUUGUGGCUACUCAAAUAUACAACGCAGACGAAUCGGUCCUCUACUGGAAAAUGUUGCCGAAAAAAACGCUGGUUCGUUCUCAAGAGAAGACCGCACCAGGUCGAAAAAUAAGCAAAGAACGGGUAGCAUUUUUAGCAUGUUGCAAUGCCAUAAACUAAAUAUGCUAGAUAUAGGAAAGGCAAAACAUCCACUAGCAUUUAAAAACGCAGACAUUCCUGUUGAAUACAAAUCCUCUGCUAAUGCAUGGAUGACUACAAAGAUUUUUAUAGAUUGGUUUCAUCAAUCAUUUAUACCUCAAGUUAGGGGGCAUUUAAGAAGUUAUAAUUUGCCUGAAAAAGCGCUGUUAAUCAUAGAUAAUGCCUUGAGUCAUGGAACUGUAUAAGAGCUAACUAGUGAAGAUGGAAGAUUUAAAACAUUAUUCCUCCCACCAAAUUGUACAGCACUCUUGCAGCCUUUGGAUCAAAAUGCUAUCAGACUAAUAAAAUUAUUGUACCAAAAAAGCCUUUUAGCCCACACAGCAUUGUUAAAAAAUCUUAACCUAAAAGUUGCAGUAUGUCUGCUAUGCAAUGCUUGGGAAAAGGUCUCUUCUGAAGUUUUGAAGAAGUGCUGGGACAAAAUUAUGUCCGAUAACAAAGACAUUGAAUAUGAUGCUGAAGAUCUAAUUCCUCUUAAGUGAAUUACGCCUUAAUCUGCUUUCUUUGGAUGGAGAUAGGGGAAAGUAAAUAAAAACUGCCGAAUAGCAAUUUCAUAAAAACUAAUAAACAAAUUUUUUUUUA